Molecule: long non-coding RNA, 5309 nt
Filed under: Homo sapiens (human)
Lineage: Eukaryota; Metazoa; Chordata; Mammalia; Primates; Hominidae
Description: novel transcript
Source: RNAcentral
UUGGUGCCCACUCAAAGUUACCAAGUUCUGGGGGAAGUUGGGUCAAGCUGAGUUUUCAUCAUGGGACCACAGUUAUUAGCACAGCAGAAACAUUAUAUGAAAGUAUUAAAACAGUUACUUAAGGCUAGCGGAGCCUCAGUUUCACAGGCUCAAUUAAGGGACCUAAUCAUCCAUGCUAGACAAACUGUUGCAAUGCAAACUCUUGUGAUCCCAAGCCCGUGGUUCCCGGAAGAAGGAACGCUAGACGUAGAACUCUGGGAACAAAUGGGGAGAAAUCUUAACAUGUGCAAAGGCAACAGGUCCCAGUAACAGCUUUAACGUUAUAGGCUUUAAUUAGAGCAGCCUUAGCUCUGUUACACGCAGAAGAGCCUAAAAAGAGCAAGGAGGAGAAAAUGUCACCUGCCUUAUCACCUCCUCUUCCCUCCACCCUAAUAUCACCGGGCCGAAAUAACAGAGGAAACGGGGGUUUAUACCUGAGCCUCCUCCUCCAAUAGAUAGGAAAAAAGACCUAGGAUAUGCUACAGCUAUCAGUCCCUGUCUUAAGCGGGCAGCAUUAGAAGCAGAGCUCUUACUCUGCCCAGUAAUGCAGAAUCGGCAAGGCAAUCAGGUGUAUGUUUAUAAAAAGAUAAGAAAAAAGGCAUUAGGAGCCGAAAGCCGUGCAGCCGAGCAAGCAGUAAAUAAAAAGAAAGGCUCGGCAGCCCGGAAGUUCACAGAAACAGAGCCAGCACAGGCAAAAGGCAGCGCUUUUACAAGAGUAAAACAGCUACCGCCCAGGGACCCGCCGGCUCAGCUCUCUAGCUCUGCAGGUGACCCAAGGCAAGUGCUCCUUGUUUACAAGCGACAUCCCAGAUUAUAAUUCUCUGCUAAAAUUUAAGUAAAAUGUAAGAAUUUGAAAAACCUCUUUUCUGAUAAUGGCCACUGUUGCUCUCUCUCUCCUACCCCUGACGUAGCUCUCCAAAUCCAAUUUAGGUAAAACAGUAACCUCUGAAGGGAGAGAGAUUACAGAAGGCCGAUGAAUUAGUUAAAGAGUAGUUAAAAGCUAGGCAUGUAAAACCACACAUUACCCUUUAAAGGAGAACUUUAAACCUAACUAAAUCAUAUUUGUUAAAUUAGAAGAAAAGUUGUAUGUAAGUGUAGUGAAAGCAUAUGCAUGAAUGACUGUCGUAACCCACUGAUUAGAUAGUCUUUUGAUUUCUACUUGCUAAAAGAGUCCUGAAUUCAGUUUCCCAACUACUGGGUCACUGUUUUCAAGACUGUUGGCCAGAUUAAAGUCCAUAAACUUGAUCAGCUUGAAAACUCAAUUGCAAGAUUUAAGCUGUUCUGCCUGUGGCUUUAAGCACAUGGUUAAAGUAUAUUAUUUAAGUUUCUGCUUCUAGAGAUGCUUUCAGAUUUUCUUUUUAAAUUUCAUGUUACUUAUUUCAACUUGCCAUCUUAAUGAUUAAUGCAGUCAAUUGCUAAGUUAUAACCCUGAUAUCAUCAGGAUUCCUUUAAGUAAAAGGUAAUUCGAAGCGGUAUUGCACUUCCCCAUACCUAAUGCUUUAACACUGUUUACUGAUGGGUCUGGUAAACAUGGAAAAGCGGCAGUCUAGUAGAGACCACACAAUUCCAUCACUCAGAGUUUACUAGCACUCAGAGAGCUGAGGUUACUCUGUUUAUUUAUUAAAGAACUUUUACAGCAUGAAGUUAGCUCUGGAGACCACUCUGUGUGCUCUUUUUCUCCGACUUCAGCAAUUGCUACACCAACGUACACAUCCUGUUUUUAUUACACACAUUCGAGCCCACAGCUCUCUGCCUGGCCCAUUGGCUUAUGGCAAUGAUCAAGCAGCUCUUCAGGUUGUAACAUCACUGCUAGACCAAGCCACCCAAUUGCAUCAAUUUUUCUACUAAAAUUAGAGAAACUCAUCUUAAACAACUUCAACUUAUACAGAGAUUGGCUAAACAAAUUAUCUGACGGUGCCCAGAUUGCCAGCUCACAGGCACAGCCCCUCUUUCAACAGGUGUUAACCCUAGAGGAUUGGAACCUAAUCAGUUGUGGCAAACAGAUGUUACAUCCCUAAAUUUGGGAAACUAAGAUAUAUACAUGUAUCCGUUAAUACCAACACUCACCUAAUUAGUGCACAUUAAAAAGAGAAAUAAAGGGAAAGAAUGAGUAAGAAAGAGACUAGAAAAGACAGAUCAGAGACAGACACAAAAAGACUAAGGAGAGAAAGUAGGAAGAAAGGAAAGAAAUAUUAAAGUUACAGAUAUAAGAAUGCACCUUUAGUAAGGAAGGUUAUAAAACAUAGUCAGAAAGUUAAGCCAUGUUAAAGAUUGUCUGUGAAAGUUGUGAAGAAUGUUAUGAAAAGGAAUUUAUGCAGGAAAUAUAUAAUUUUUGUUUUGAAGGUCUAAACAAGUUUUAAAACGUUAAUUGUAAAAAAAAUUCUGUGUGUAAACAUAUUGGCUAAAAUAAAAAAGGUAUCAUCCAGUUUUUCUGUAAACUAGACAUUAAAGUACAACAAGUUUUUCUUAAAACACUAACCUGCUCUUUAAAGACUGUAAAAAGUCUCUCAGCACAGGCACCACCCCUAGAAUUUCCAGUACACCAGCACCAGCCUGGAGACUACAUUCUUAUCAAAGGAUGGAAAGAAGAAAAAACUCAAGCCAGCCUGAGAAAAGACAUACAGGACCCGCAGCCUCAACAAUGUGGCUUCCGAAGACAACACAGGUCCCAGGCAUUAUGCUAAAGAAGGAAAAGUCUAAGCCAGAUAAUUUAUUCAUUUUAAAUUCUCUCACUUUACCUACUACCUAUACCUGCUACACUCUAUUAAGCUCAUCCCUUAAAUCUGCCUUUUUUCAGUCCUAUCAUCUAGGCAGACACUCCCUUUCCAGCUUCUAACAAUAUCUACGUGUCAAUGUAUGUUUUAUUCUUCUGUCAUUUGGGUCAGGGUCUGAGGGCAGACCCCUGCAGCUAAUGCCCUCAAGUGUGAGGAGCAAUACCUCAGAAAACUAUCCCAAAACCUACUUUACUCCACCUGUUGCUACUUUUCUGAGGAAAAAGUACUGAGUAAUUAUGAUGAACUGUCACUUAAAAAGUCAAGUUUGGUUGAAUUAUAUACAUCUACUUUAGCAUUAUGCUUAUGAAUAUUAACAUCUGAAGCAAAAUGCAUAUAUGUUGUUAAUUAUAAUUAUAAACAUAAAGCAUUGUGAUGUAAAUCUACACUUACGGGAAAUGAUCAUUACAAAGCAAAAAGGCAGGAACCGAAAACCAUGGGACUGAUAGCAAAACAUCCUUUCUGAAAAUUAGGGGAAUUCUAACUAUUUAUGUACAGUUAACAUUGCACGCAGCCAGACUUCUUUGUAGGAUACUAAUUUAGAGUAAUCACUAAACCCUAUUAAUGUGCUAAUUUUAGUUUAUUAAAACAAAUUUUCAGUAAUCCUUAAUAACUCACAGACAAUUAGGUUUGGGAGACAACUAGUUUGGGAGGAGGAAGUCAGAGCCAACUAAGAAUUCCUGAAAAAAUAACAAGAGCAACUCUGUAUUUAUAAUUUAAAAUUCUUUGUGAAAUUUCCACUGCCUAUUUUCUUGAAAUUAUGUUUUACAUAUCCGUGUUUCUCCUUACCAGUCUCUCUCGUUAAAUCAUGGAAUUUGAGUGUCUGUUCAUUUAUUUAUUUUUUUUACUUUUCAUUGGUGUAUUAUAUUUACUAAGUUAACACAUUUUAAAUGUACAGUUGAAAGAAUUUUUACAUACUCCCCGUGUAACUCCUGUGUUAACCAUCUAUAAGAGAAACACAGAUGUGUAAAACGUAAUAUCAACAUACAGAAUAUAUCCAGUAACCCAAAGUCUCCCUAUGCCUCCUUCCAAUCAACAUUUCUUCAAAGGUAGGCAGUAUUUUUUUUUUUUUUUUUUUUGAGAUGGAGUCUCAUUCUGUCGCCCAGGCUGGAGUGCAGUGGCGCUAUCUCGGCUCACUGCAAGCUCCACCUCCCGGGUUCACGCCAUUCUCCUACCUCAGCCUCCCGAGUAGCUGGGACUACAGGCGCCCAGUAGACAGUAUUUUUAUCUCUGUCACCAUUAGUUUUUUCCUGUUCUGGGUGUCAUAAUAAUGGAAUCAGAGAGUAUGUUUUCUUCAUGUCAGCUUGUCUCACUCAACAUUAUGUCUCUGAAAUUCCUCCAUGUGUUGCCACUUUGUAGCAGUGGCUCAUUUUUUUCUGUGUAGUAUUACUUUGUAUGAAUAUGCCAGAAUUUAUCAAUUCAACUACUGAUGAAUUUUUUUCAUUCCUUUGGUAAAUAUGAAUAGUUACUAUGGAUAUUCUUAUAGGUGUUUUUGGUAGACAUAUGCACUCAUGUCUCUUGACUAUAGUCCAAGCAAUGGAAUUGUUGGGUCAUAGGAUAGGUGUUUGUUUAGCUGCAGUAAAUUCUGCUAGUUUUCCAAAGUAAUUGGGCGUAUUUAGACUCCUACCAGCAAUGAUGAAAGUUCUGUUUCUCCAUACCUUUAGUAUUGCCCAUACUUUUAAUUGUAGUCUAUCUGGUGUGUAGGAAGUAGUAUGUUAUUGUUUUUUUUAAACUAGCUCAUUGAGAUAUAACAUAUAUAUAUAAAAUAAACCGCAUAUAUUUAAAGUAUACAAAUUGAUUUUUUUUUUUUUUUUGAGACGGAGUCUCACACUCUAGCCCAGCCUGGAGUGCAGUGGCGCUUGGCUCACUGCAAGCUCUGCCUCCCGGGUUUAUGCCAUCCUCCUGCCUCAGCCUCCCGAGUAGCUGGGACUACAGGUGCCUGCCACCACGCCUGGCUAAUUUUUUGUAUUUUUAAUAGAGAUGGGGUUUCACCGUGUUAGCCAGGAUGGUCUCGAUCUCCUGACCUCGUGAUCUGCCCGCUUCGGCCUCCCAAAGUGCUGGGAUUACAAGCAUGAGCCACCGCGCCCGGCCACAAAUUGAUGUUUUAAAAUAUGUAUACACACCUGAAAUGAUCACCACCAAAACAAUGAACAUACCCAUUAUCUCCAAAAGUUUUCUGUGCCCCUUUGUAAUUCCUCCCUUUCUUUAGCCUCACUCCCCCAUUCCCAAGCAGCCACUGAUAUGCUUUCCGUGAUGAUAGUUUGCAUUUUCUAGUUUUAAAUAAACAGAAUCACAUAGUAUCUACUCUUUGUUGUCUAGCUUAACUCUGCAUAAUUAUUUUAAGAUUCACCCAUGUCAUUGCAUGUAUCAAAAGUCCAUUUUUUUGCUGAGUACUAUUCCAUUGUACAGCUGUACUACAAUUUGUUAUUCCAGUCAUCUGUUGAUGGACAUUUGGUUUGUUUCCAUUUUGGGGCUAUUACAAAUAAAGCUGUUACAAAC